AGAAUCAACGCUGGCGGCGUGCCUAACACAUGCAAGUCGCACGAGAAAGUGGAGCAAUCCACGAGUAAAGUGGCGCACGGGUGAGUAACACGUGAAUAAUCUACCUCCGAGUGGGGAAUAACUGAGAGAAAUCUUAGCUAAUACCGCAUAACACUUACGAGUCAAAGCAGCAAUGCGCUUGGAGAGGAGUUCGCGGCCGAUUAGUUAGUUGGCGGGGUAAUGGCCCACCAAGACGAUGAUCGGUAUCCGGCCUGAGAGGGCGCACGGACACACUGGAACUGAAACACGGUCCAGACUCCUACGGGAGGCAGCAGUGGGGAAUUUUGCGCAAUGGGGGAAACCCUGACGCAGCAACGCCGCGUGGAGGAUGAAAUAUCUUGGUAUGUAAACUCCUUUCGAUGGGAAGAUAAUGACGGUACCAUAGAAGAAGCCCGGCUAACUUCGUGCCAGCAGCCGC
This 457-nucleotide ribosomal RNA is filed under the name uncultured bacterium. RNAcentral describes it as "SSU rRNA". It matches the Rfam family "Bacterial small subunit ribosomal RNA", at positions 26 to 518 of the family's 1533-position model. The record is from RNAcentral.